UGUCAAACAAUGUAACAUCUGCUGCAACUAACACACAACUCACACUUCUAACAGUAAAAUAUACUCCAUCCAAAUCAUCUGUAUUUAACAUACUACCGUCAAAAUUAAUCUUGAGAAUACUAGGAGAUAGUAAUUCCCAUGUAAAGUAACAAAUAUAAGAGAAUGCAGAAUCUACAAUAGGAAAGCUGCAAUUUUUCCCAACUAUCAAGACAUCUCCAGGGUAGUAGCAUUAAUGUACUUCUAUGCCUCACUGAUUGCUUUCAACAAAUUGAAUCUAGGACUUCAAGAAUUAUUUUAAAAAAUACGGUCAUUUCUAGCCAACUAAACAUUAUAAGCAACACAUGCUGCCAACACAACCUCUCUACUAUAGCGACAUGUAGAUGAUCUCUCAUAGAUGGUUUGGACGAAAGUAUCGAAAGAGAGAGAGUGGGAAUAAUAUCCGCAUUACUAUUAGAAGCUUGUCUCCAAAUUUGAUUCGCUAAUCCACAAAGUAAAAUAACAUUGAGAGGUAGUCUCCUCUAUCUCAAGGCAUAAAUCGCAAUGAUUUGGGAUAUGAAAACCCCGCUCAUGUAACUCCUCGACAUGGAAAGUGGUCUCAAGCUAUCUCCCAUAAAAAUAAGCAACCCUAGGAUAAAACACCAAUCCUUCAAAUCCACCCAAUGUUCCUCGUUGAUCGGGCAUUUGCCUUAAGGUAUUUAUAUAAAUCCGCAACUCUGACAGACAAUCCAUUUGAAGGACCCCAACUCAACU
RNAcentral lists this long non-coding RNA (750 nucleotides) under Phoenix dactylifera (date palm). RNAcentral describes it as "long non-coding RNA (PDAC_LNC003583)". Lineage: Eukaryota; Viridiplantae; Streptophyta; Magnoliopsida; Arecales; Arecaceae. The record is from RNAcentral.